UACGGAAGGCAGCAGUGGGGAAUAUUGCACAAUGGGCGCAAGCCUGAUGCAGCCAUGCCGCGUGUAUGAAGAAGGCCUUCGGGUUGUAAAGUACUUUCAGUCGUGAGGAAGGUGUUAAGGUUAAUAACCUUAGCAAUUGACGUUAGCGACAGAAGAAGCACCGGCUAACUCCGUGCCAGCAGCCGCGGUAAUACGGAGGGUGCGAGCGUUAAUCGGAAUUACUGGGCGUAAAGGGCACGCAGGCGGUUAAUUAAGUUGGAUGUGAAAUCCCCGGGCUUAACCUGGGAAUGGCAUUCAAGACUGGUUAGCUAGAGUCUUGUAGAGGGGGUAGAAUUCCAUGUGUAGCGGUGAAAUGCGUAGAGAUGUGGAGGAAUACCGGUGGCGAAGGCGGCCCCUGGACAAAGACUGACGCUCAUGUGCGAAAGCGUGGGGAGCGAAACAGGGAUUAGA
Molecule: ribosomal RNA, 450 nt
Filed under: uncultured bacterium
Lineage: Bacteria
Description: bacterial SSU rRNA
Rfam family: Bacterial small subunit ribosomal RNA
Source: RNAcentral